GCUACACCCUUCCAGCAGAGACUCUGUUGUGCCGGCAGUGAUGCUGGAAGUUCAUUGGCAAAAUAGCUUUGAGAGUGAAGGCUGCAACCUUGCACUGUGCAUACAGAAGCCAACAGGACCAGUUACACCAGCCUGUCACCAUUACCAUCCGUCCAGAGGAUGGGCUGAGGAAUUCUACCCUCCUUACAUAUUAGGAAAGUCUUGGUUUGAUCUUGUUUUCAUCCUAUGUGGUCCUUAAUCCCAUCAGCACGUUUAAUUAAGCACUGUCCUAAAAACUGUGGUAGUCAGUUGCUUCAUCUAAGGAUGUGGAAUCUGUGACUUUAUGAGAAGACAACGGUUGUUUGCUUUUUUGGUAUUGAUCCACAUAAAAAUUAGCCUCUGAAGAAGAGCAAAAUGUGUGCUGGAAUGCGAAGGAAAGAGCAAGCUGGGCUGUGAUGCAAUACCCAGGAGCUCCACUUUGGGUCUGCAAGCUGCAUCUGCAAACAGCAGCAGCAAAAACAACAGACAAGCUCUUUUCGUGAUAUGUGAAGUGCAAUUAUGAGGCUGUUAACUUCAAAGUCUGCUUCUGACCACGGAAAGGCUUAGUGUUAACCUCUCCUGCUACAGUAUGUCCAACAAACGCACUUGUUGUCCAGCCCCAUAUGGACAUACCAGAUGUUCCUCCCACCAGCAUGGACAUUCCAGAGGAAAUUGCUGCUGGUGGCGUGGUCCAGCAGCACGGCAGAGGUAAGAUGCUGGGCCAGUCCAGCCCACUGCAGUAGUGCUAUUCUUUUUGAACUGCAGAUGCCAGCUUUCUAAGCUGUCUUCAGCAAUUCCUCCUGUGAACUACCACUUCUAACCAUUUUUCCAGAUUCCAUAGGGAUGUUGCUAAAAUUGCUGAGCAAUUUUCAUCAUCUGCAUCCAAUAUUGAGAACUUUAACAAGUCGUGGAAUAUUUUUUUUU
This 942-nucleotide long non-coding RNA is filed under the name Gallus gallus (chicken). Lineage: Eukaryota; Metazoa; Chordata; Aves; Galliformes; Phasianidae. The record is from RNAcentral.